CCUACGGGGGGCUGCAGUGGGGAAUAUUGCACAAUGGGGGAAACCCUGAUGCAGCGACGCCGCGUGUAGGAAGAAGUAUUUCGGUAUUUAAACUUCUAUCAGCAGGGAAGAAAAUGACGGUAUCUGUCUACGAAGCCCCGGCUAACUACGUGCCAGCAGCCGCGGUCAUACGUAGGGGGCAAGCGUUAUCCGGAUUUACUGGGUGUCAAGGGAGCGUAGGCGGUUCAGCAAGUCAGAAGUGAAAUCCCGGGGCUCAACGCCGGGACUGCUUUUGAAACUGUUGAACUAGAUUGCAGGAGAGGUGAGUGGAAUUCCUAGUGUAGCGGUGAAAUGCGUAGAGAUUAGGAGGAACACCAGUGGCGAAGGCGGCUUACUGGACUAUAAAUGACGCUGAGGCGCGAAAGCGUGGGGAGCAAACAGGAUUAGAUACCCGAGUAGUC
This 440-nucleotide ribosomal RNA is filed under the name uncultured bacterium. Its description in RNAcentral is "partial 16S ribosomal RNA". It matches the Rfam family "Bacterial small subunit ribosomal RNA", at positions 338 to 795 of the family's 1533-position model. The record is from RNAcentral.